RNAcentral lists this ribosomal RNA (119 nucleotides) under Escherichia coli. RNAcentral's name for it is "partial 16S ribosomal RNA". It matches the Rfam family "Bacterial small subunit ribosomal RNA", at positions 1 to 118 of the family's 1533-position model. The record is from RNAcentral. Lineage: Bacteria; Pseudomonadati; Pseudomonadota; Gammaproteobacteria; Enterobacterales; Enterobacteriaceae.
UAACUGAAGAGUUUGAUCAUGGCUCAGAUUGAACGCUGGCGGCAGGCUUAACACAUGCAAGUCGAGCGGGGAAGGGUAGCUUGCUACCUGACCUAGCGGCGGACGGGUGAGUAAUGCUU